AAUUUCUCCCUGGUUGGUAAGGGAGGAGGACUGGCUCCUGACUGGAAAGGUAGUACCUUGGACAGAGCAGUGCUAGGGAAGGACAGAAGGAGUUGGGGAGCUUUGGCUAAGGAAAACCCCAGGCUUCAGGCCUUGCUACAAAGGGCUGAGUAGGUACACAGGACUGAAGGGGAAGUAGCCUAGGGACAAUAGGUUGAUAAGGGGAGAGAAAGCGGGCAGAGAGGCUGCUGGUAGAGGGUCCUGGGUCAGGACCUAGAAUAGCAGGUGGGCCUAGGUUCCCCCUGCCUUUCUCUUGUACUACACCUGGCUGAGGAGGAGGGUGGCCUGAUAAGGCUGUGGCUAGCACCUGCGACAAAGGGGUUAGACUUUGAGGCUAAAGUCGGCCACUACAGCUCGUGUAGAUUGAAGACUGCUGAUAACUCCAAACCCCUGGAAGGGGGUGAGACAGGAGCAGUGGGCACUGCCAGAGGGCAGCAUCCUGAAGAGGAUGAUGCAGUGUGGGGAGCAAUGCAGGUUCCCAAAGCAGCAGAGUAGACAAAGGGCAAGGCACCAUGUGCAAAAGAUGCUCCCUGACUGGACAGAGCUAAUUCCUGGAGCAACCAGCUGGAGGUGCCAAUGGUGUCUCUGGAAACAGAAAGAGCCAGCAACCUGACCAGACAGCUCUUCAGAGACUGCUAGCAACUGCUCUGUGGACCACAGUAGCAUCUGCCCUUGCUUUGGCAGUGCAAAUCCACAAUGCCAGCUGAAGGUCCAGGAAAAGACUGCAGAUAGAAGAGGGCAGCCAAAGGCAGAAGCAGGGAGAGAGAGAUGCACA
Long non-coding RNA from Dermochelys coriacea (leatherback sea turtle), 814 nucleotides. RefSeq lists it as uncharacterized. The transcript has 3 exons. NCBI's taxonomy places the organism in Eukaryota, Metazoa, Chordata, Testudines, Dermochelyidae. The record is from RefSeq and is a predicted model, not a curated record.